RNAcentral lists this ribosomal RNA (458 nucleotides) under uncultured bacterium. RNAcentral's name for it is "partial 16S ribosomal RNA". It matches the Rfam family "Bacterial small subunit ribosomal RNA", at positions 338 to 795 of the family's 1533-position model. The record is from RNAcentral.
CCUACGGGAGGCAGCAGUGGGGAAUAUUGCACAAUGGGGGAAACCCUGAUGCAGCGACGCCGCGUGAGUGAAGAAGCGUUUCGGCGCGUUAAGCUCUGUCAGCGGGGAAGAAACACGGUUCGCGAGAGCCGCGGACGGUACCCGCGCAAGAAGCCCCGGCUAAAUACGUGCAAGCAGCCGCGGUAAUACGUAGGGGGCAAGCGUUAUCCGGAUUCACUGGGUGUAAAGGGGGCGUAGACGGCGAGACAAAGCUGGAGUGAAAGGCCGGGGCCCAACCCCGGGACCGCUCUGGAAACUGCGUGGCUGGAGUACGCGAGAGGUAAGUGGAAUUCGUGGUGUAGCGGUGAAAUGCGUAGAUAUUAGGAAGAACACCAGUGGCGAAGGCAGCUUACUGGACUGUAACUGACGUUGAGGCUCGAAAGCGUGGGUAGCAAACAGGAUUAGAUACCCCAGUAGUC